UCUACUUGAGAAGCCAGUUGGCAAAGAAAGCAUGCCUCAGACUCCUCCCUUUUCUGCCAUGUUUGACAGCAGUGGUUACAACCGAAACCUCUAUCAGUCUGCAGAGGACAGCUGUGGGGGGCUGUAUUACCAUGACAACAACCUCCUCUCCGGGUCUCUGGAAGCGCUCAUCCAGCACUUGGUACCCAAUGUGGAUUAUUAUCCGGAUAGAACGUACAUAUUUACCUUCCUGUUGAGUUCUCGGUUAUUUAUGCAUCCGUAUGAGCUAAUGGCCAAAGUUUGCCACUUAUGUGUUGAGCACCAGAGACUAAGUGAUCCCAACAGUGAUAAGAAUCAGAUAAGAAAAAUUGCACCGAAAAUUCUUCAGCUCCUGACAGAAUGGACAGAAACAUUUCCUUAUGAUUUUCGGGAUGAAAGAAUGAUGAGAAACUUAAAAGAUCUGGCUCACCGAAUAGCCAGUGGCGAGGAGACAUAUCGGAAGAAUGUCCAGCAGAUGAUCCAGUGUCUGAUCCGCAAGCUGGCCGCACUCAGCCAGUAUGAGGAAGUACUGGCCAAAAUCAGUUCCACGUCAACAGAUCGACUCACAGUUCUCAAGACCAAGCCACAGUCCAUCCAAAGGGACAUCAUCACUGUCUGCAGUGACCCUUACACGUUGGCCCAGCAGCUGACUCACAUAGAGCUGGAGAGGCUCAAUUACAUUGGCCCAGAAGAAUUUGUUCAGGCCUUUGUGCAGAAGGACCCUUUGGACAAUGACAAGAGUUGCUACAGUGAACGGAAGAAAACACGGAACUUAGAAGCCUACGUGGAAUGGUUUAAUCGCCUCAGCUACUUGGUUGCUACAGAAAUCUGCAUGCCUGUAAAGAAGAAGCAUCGAGCAAGGAUGAUUGAGUAUUUCAUUGACGUGGCUCGGGAGUGUUUUAACAUUGGCAACUUCAAUUCCUUGAUGGCAAUAAUCUCUGGCAUGAACAUGAGCCCCGUCUCUCGACUGAAAAAAACUUGGGCCAAAGUGAAGACUGCCAAGUUCGAUGUUCUUGAGCAUCAAAUGGACCCUUCGAGCAAUUUCUAUAAUUAUCGAACAGCUCUUCGUGGGGCAGCGCAAAGGUCUUUAACUGCUCAUAGCAGCAGAGAGAAGAUUGUGAUACCAUUCUUCAGUCUGUUAAUCAAAGAUAUUUAUUUCCUCAAUGAGGGCUGUGCCAACCGCCUUCCCAAUGGCCAUGUCAACUUUGAGAAAUUUUGGGAACUGGCCAAACAAGUGAGUGAAUUCAUGACGUGGAAACAAGUGGAGUGUCCAUUUGAGAGGGACCGGAAGAUCUUACAGCAUCUGCUCACAGUUCCAGUCUUCAGUGAAGAUGCUCUCUACUUGGCAUCCUAUGAAAGUGAAGGACCUGAAAAUCAUAUAGAGAAAGACAGAUGGAAGUCCUUAAGAUCCAGCCUCCUGGGCAGAGUUUAACACACGGGCUGCUGAUUGCUGCUGUUGCCGCCUCCACCGCUGCAUCACGUAGAUCAUCGAGGGGCUGGCCUUUGUGUUCGGGAAUCUUGUGCUACCAAAAAAAUCAUGAAGUCCCUGCAAGCACGCUCCCUCAAGAGCAGAUGAGGACCUUGCUCCCUGCAGCUGACAGAUUGACUCAGAUUCUAUGAGACUGAAAUGUUCACUGAGGACACUUGAGAAAGAAUCCUCUAAGGGUCCCAGCUCUGCAAUGAUUCAUCUCCUGGAAUUUCCAUGUGAAUCACAGCUCUGCACCUGGAUGGAGCUUUCUUUUGUGUGUGCAGGUUCUUUACUACUAGCGCCAUCUGGGAAGCCCAAAGAAUGGGAGGCCUAUGGGCUAAACCUCACUCUCCCCAGAUAUUCUGGACUUUGGGAAGCUUUCCCCCACUUUUGGACCUCAGUGUCCUCAACUGGAAGUAAUGGAUCUGGAUUAAUUGAUGUCUGCUGUUCAUGGUCUGAGAGUUCGUGGUUUGGGAAAGCACUUCCUCCUCUUACUGGACUGAGAGGUGAGUUAGCAAGUAAAUACAGCAUCCUGCAUUUGUGCUGCCAACCCCUUCUUUCUGCCUGGCUCUUUUGUUUGUUGUAUCUGAAGAGGGAAUGGAUAAGACGAUAAUUGCUACUUGAUUGGAGACAAAGAAGUGAUAAAGGCUCAGCUCCCCCUCCAGUUCAACUCCACGCAAAGGGAUAGGGCUCUUUAUGGUAAAGAGUGAUUGCUACCCAGACCAGAAACCAAAAAAUUCCCUUUGUGCAAGUCCAGUUCUGUGAUUUCGAAGGUUCUAGAUGAAGAAAGCAAAGUUUCCAAAGACCAAAGACUACAAAAAUGCUUUGUUGUGUAGACUAUAUCUUUGCCACGGCAGCUGUUGCAGUUGUGCUUGUUUGUACAGAUAAAAUCUUAGAUAAAGUGCCUGUUCACACCUAGUCAUUUACAAAUGAGUCAAUAUUUGGCUUAAAAGACCAAAACUCAGACUCAUGAUGAUCAGAGUCCACUUCUGCAUUUUGUCAAUUUUCACAUCUUAAAAAUGAUUGGAGACCUCCUCUGAAGACUCCUGAAUUUGACAUACCUUUUACAGGAAGACCUACACGGAAAGAAACCAGCAAGGGCAUGGACCACUCGUGUGAGCGUGGAUACCUUCUCUCCUUUGGCUACAAAUGCUCCCUGAAGCCUAGUCCAGGAAGACCUGUGCAAAAGAGGAAAGAUCAAAGGAAGGAACAGGCAAACAACUCAGAAGAGAGAGAAAACUGUAGAGGGAUAUGUAAAUGACAAAGCUUUGGCAAGUGGAAGAAUUUAGGAAGAGAUGUAGCAUUAGCAGCGUUGAAGCUUUUGAAAUACUCAGACACUGAAGAUCUAAUAAGAAAACAAUGAAUCAAGGAAGUCUGCUCCCUCGGGAAACUACAAGCUAUUUAGCUAUUAAAAUCAGUAUCAGGGAAAUGGAUAGAUAUAAAGAUAACUAGGGAGGAUAUUUUUAAUUACUGAACUCCAUAAAAUAAAGUUUAUAAAAUUCUGGAAAACAGGCAUCACCAACCCUUCUCCAUCUAUUCGAAAAUUGUCAAGGCCUUUGUGCAGGGCAGAGAAACCCUGGCAGGAGGGCAUGCUUUUUCAGGCAGUUUAGACUCAGAUGGGAAAUAAGGAUAACCCACAGGGUUCCUAGAUGCCCCGACAAAAGCUCAAGAUUUGUAAAAUGCUCUUUUUCUUUCAGGGUGUUCACUUGGCUUACAGAUAAACCCAGCCAUGCUGCGAUGGUCAGGUACACAGUGGAAUAAAUGGGAUCCCUUAGCUCUGCUCUUAAACUUUAUAAGGAGGUGGGGGUGCAGUCCUAUAACCAAGGAGGUCCUGGUAAGGAAUGUGGAACUAACAAGAUACCAACAACCGGACGAGUUCAGGAAAGGUCAAAAGGAGAGUGGAAACACCAGCCUACAUUUGCUACCAACCUCCCAGAAUCCUCCUCACUGGAAUCCAUCUUGGCUGCGUGAUGCACGCGCUGCCAAGAAGGACCCUGAUGGGCCAGCCAGAAGCAAUUCAGAAACUAACCCUAUCACCAUAAAACCCAAGACUGCAAAUCACACGGCAGAGCAGUUCUAGGUUCCCUUACCUUCCUGUUCUCCACCUAGCUAUCCUUCCCAAUAAAGUCUCUUGCUUUGUCAGCA
This is an RNA transcript of Bubalus bubalis (water buffalo), 3631 nucleotides long. It is a transcript of the gene named RasGEF domain family member 1B, with no coding region annotated. The transcript is spliced from 16 exons. The record is from RefSeq and is a predicted model, not a curated record. Lineage: Eukaryota; Metazoa; Chordata; Mammalia; Artiodactyla; Bovidae.